UACGUAGGGUGCGAGCGUUGCCCGGAUUUAUUGGGCGUAAAGGGCGCGUAGGCGGUCACGCACGUCCGUUGUGAAAUCGCUCGGCUCAACUGGGCGGGGUCAGCGGAUACGGCGUGGCUGGAGCAAGCUAGGGGGCAAUGGAAUUCCCGGUGUAGUGGUGGAAUGCGUAGAUAUCGGGAGGAACACCAGUGGCGAAGGCGGUUGCCUGGAGCUUUGCUGACGCUGAUGCGCGAAAGCUAGGGGAGCGAACGGGG
RNAcentral lists this ribosomal RNA (254 nucleotides) under uncultured bacterium. RNAcentral describes it as "partial 16S ribosomal RNA". It matches the Rfam family "Bacterial small subunit ribosomal RNA", at positions 524 to 777 of the family's 1533-position model. The record is from RNAcentral.